GGCCUUAUACUCAUUACAUGAUUUUAAAUUGCAAAUUUAAAGGUGGGGUAUCCCUAAGGCUU
Molecule: transfer RNA, 62 nt
Filed under: Byrrhinus sp. BYR01
Lineage: Eukaryota; Metazoa; Arthropoda; Insecta; Coleoptera; Limnichidae
Description: tRNA-Cys
Source: RNAcentral